CAUUUUACAGCUUUUGAGGUGAACAUUUAAAAAUUUUAAGACUAAAAACUUUUUUAAUGAUAGGUGUUUUAUAACAAAGUUCUAUUAUUCAGUAUGUCUCAUUAUUAGUUGCAUACAGUUGAUUUACAACAGACAAAAGAUUAUUUUAAAAUACAAAACUUAACACGGAGUAUGAUCAAAGUAGAACAAGUUAUGACUAUAAUGACGAUUAUCAUUUCAGUGGUUCGUUUAGAUUUGAAUAAAUUGACUUAUGGAAAAUAUAAGGUCUCUGGAGAUCCACAUAUACUACAGCAGCUAUUCUAAUAUUUCAUUAUUCGCAUGCAAAUAUUUGACACAAGCCACAAUGCUACUGUUAUUUAAAUAAUUUUGUUUUUACUUUUAGCGCCACUGUUUGUCUAGAAACACAAAACAAAAUCAUCUAUAUUGCCUUGAAAUAAUAUACAUUUUGAUGUUAAACAGCGGUACACUAAAAAAUAACUAUAACGAAGUUCUCGAUGGCUACUAUUAUAGUACAGUAAAAAUAAUUGUUGUUAUAUUUUUCUGGCUGUCAAGUGCUUAUAAAAACUGUAAAUAAAAAAAUAAAACGAU
Molecule: long non-coding RNA, 588 nt
Organism: Daktulosphaira vitifoliae (grape phylloxera)
Lineage: Eukaryota; Metazoa; Arthropoda; Insecta; Hemiptera; Phylloxeridae
Exons: 2
Source: RefSeq, a predicted model, not a curated record